This 468-nucleotide ribosomal RNA is filed under the name uncultured bacterium. RNAcentral's name for it is "partial 16S ribosomal RNA". It matches the Rfam family "Bacterial small subunit ribosomal RNA", at positions 28 to 507 of the family's 1533-position model. The record is from RNAcentral.
GACGAACGCUGGCGGCGUGCUUAACACAUGCAAGUCGAACGGAAAGGCCCUGCUUUUGUGGGGUGCUCGAGUGGCGAACGGGUGAGUAACACGUGAGUAACCUGCCCUUGACUUUGGGAUAACUUCAGGAAACUGGGGCUAAUACCGGAUAGGAGCUCCUGCUGCAUGGUGGGGGUUGGAAAGUUUCGGCGGUUGGGGAUGGACUCGCGGCUUAUCAGCUUGUUGGUGGGGUAGUGGCUUACCAAGGCUUUGACGGGUAGCCGGCCUGAGAGGGUGACCGGCCACAUUGCGACUGAGAUACGGCCCAGACUCCUACGGGAGGCAGCAGUGGGGAAUAUUGCACAAUGGGCGGAAGCCUGAUGCAGCAACGCCGCGUGCGGGAUGACGGCCUUCGGGUUGUAAACCGCUUUCGCCUGUGACGAAGCGUGAGUGACGGUAAUGUGUAAAGUAGCACCGGCUAACUACGUG